Molecule: ribosomal RNA, 407 nt
Filed under: Rahnella sp. OOR131
Lineage: Bacteria; Pseudomonadati; Pseudomonadota; Gammaproteobacteria; Enterobacterales; Yersiniaceae
Description: bacterial SSU rRNA
Rfam family: Bacterial small subunit ribosomal RNA
Source: RNAcentral
ACGGGAAAUUCGCCAGAGAUGGCUUAGUGCCUUCGGGAACCGUGAGACAGGUGCUGCAUGGCUGUCGUCAGCUCGUGUUGUGAAAUGUUGGGUUAAGUCCCGCAACGAGCGCAACCCUUAUCCUUUGUUGCCAGCACGUAAUGGUGGGAACUCAAAGGAGACUGCCGGUGAUAAACCGGAGGAAGGUGGGGAUGACGUCAAGUCAUCAUGGCCCUUACGAGUAGGGCUACACACGUGCUACAAUGGCAUAUACAAAGAGAAGCGAACUCGCGAGAGCAAGCGGACCUCAUAAAGUAUGUCGUAGUCCGGAUUGGAGUCUGCAACUCGACUCCAUGAAGUCGGAAUCGCUAGUAAUCGUAGAUCAGAAUGCUACGGUGAAUACGUUCCCGGGUCUUGUACACACCGAA